AUUGAACGCUGGCGGCAUGCUUUACACAUGCAAGUCGAACGGUAACAGGCCUUCGGGUGCUGACGAGUGGCGCACGGGUGAGUAAUACAUCGGAACGUACCCAGAGGUGAGGGAUAACGCAGCGAAAGCUGUGCUAAUACCGCAUGUGAUCUGAGGAUGAAAGCGGGGGACCGAGCAGCAAUGUUUGGCCUCGCGCCUUUGGAGCGGCCGAUGUCGGAUUAGCUAGUUGGUGGGGUAAAGGCCUACCAAGGCGACGAUCCGUAGCUGGUCUGAGAGGACGACCAGCCACACUGGGACUGAGACACGGCCCAGACUCCUACGGGAGGCAGCAGUGGGGAAUUUUGGACAAAGGGCGCAAACCUGAUCCAGCAAUGCCGCGUGCGGGAAGAAGGCCUUCGGGUUGUAAACCGCUUUUGGCAGGAACGAAACGGUGUCCGCUAAUACCGGGCGCUAAUGACGGUACCUGCAGAAUAAGCACCGGCUAACUACGUG
This 492-nucleotide ribosomal RNA is filed under the name uncultured bacterium. RNAcentral's name for it is "partial 16S ribosomal RNA". It matches the Rfam family "Bacterial small subunit ribosomal RNA", at positions 30 to 507 of the family's 1533-position model. The record is from RNAcentral.